ACAUUUCUUCUGAAAAGAUGUCGUCAAAUGUGUAGAUGGUAACUGUGGUUAAAAGAAGUUGAAUUGGCAUCAAACAGGCAGAGAUGCGAAGUCAGAGGUCACAACGCUGAUUGUCAUUAGACGUGACGAGGCAAAUUGUAGGCAUGAAUUACGGUCAAAUGAAGUUGAUGGUCAUUUCCAUAAAAAAGUGGAUUCUAAGUGUUGUAAAAGACAUUGACAUUCAUUGUUUUCAAAAUGCGGCCAUUGUGGUAGAAGACGUUGAUUGUCACAAAAAUACGUCAGCAAGAAGAUGCCGAAGCAAAUGGUUGUAAAAGAUGCUUAGAGCUGCAUAGCUUUGCUAAAAGACAUCAGUCCUUAUUAUCAUACAUGUUUUGGACAAGAAAAUCAUACAUUUGUGGUUUAAUUGUUCUGUUCAAAAUGUUCAAAAGUAGAAUUUGCACAGCGGAUCAUUUUAAAAGCUCCUGUGGGUCAUUCCAUGACCCACUUACCUCACGUUGCACACCACUUAAACUGUAAAGGCUAACUGUAAACUUGCGCUGGUCUUUUUUUUGUGCUAUCUCCAUUUGAUCGUUUCCAGACCUUUUUUUUUUUUUUUUUGUCAUUUCUUUUCCUUUUUUUUGUCGUUUGAAGUGAGCGUCUAGUCAGUGUCGUGACAGCAGUAUGUGGUCCGACCUGUCUGAGCAGGGCCCGCAUCUCCAUAAGCCUCGAGGGAGGCACCGCCGUCAAAGGCCCACCGCCAUGAGAAAGUCAAGUACGGGGGGGGAAUGUGUGUGUGUGUGUGUGUGUGUGUGGAGGGGGGGGGGGGGGCAUCAUACAGGUUUACCUGUUAUGUGCUUGCUUUUGCUUGGCCGCACGGUUCUUCUAUUUGCGUCUCAGAGUGAUCUUUUUGACACGGGAUUUUCAGCGUGCCUGCCUGGCUUUUUUGAAUCUAGUCCCGUACAUUUGUUUCGUGCAGUUUGUUUGUCUUUGACGUUGAAGUCAAACACGAGCUAUUGCGUGACUACCUCAGAAAGGGCUCAGCGCCACAUUGCAGUAGCCUAAUGUUGCUUUGAUGAAGAUGUUCCUUCACGGCGGGAAAGUCUUUCGUGUCCUGCCAGCCAUAACCGCAGAAUGAGUAACCCAUAUGAAAGCACUCACGGGAUUCUUUAGCCGUUCUAUCAGCGGCCGUAAGACGACGGCGCCGGUUACACAGUAACCUGACGGUCACGCCUAAUGAUCCCCUGCAGAUCAAUAUUCAGAUACGGCGUAACUAUGUUUGGAGGGGAAACAUUUCUUUUGUCAUUGUGCCGCUCUUUCUUCUUCCUCGACAACAUGCGAGGAGUAUUUGCGUGUACGCAAAGCAGCGAUGCAGAAAUCCGUCACACUCUGGCAUCCUUGAAAAGGAUUGUGGCCAUUGUUCUUGCUUAGUCUUUGGGUGAUAAAAGAUUGAGAGCAUCAAGUGUGCGAGGGGAAAAAAAUCCAAGCAAUUCAGUUGAUCUCGAUUUGUCGCUCAACAGUUUCAGGGUGAAUCGUAGAAUAUUUCUAGUCGCCGAUUAGCAUCUUUAGCUAACUGAGGAUAAUGGCUCUCAAGUUUAGCGCAGUGUGGUUAUGCUAACAUUCUUUUAUGUUUGAGUACUUUGCUAGGUUCAGGGCUGAAGCUAAUGGCUAAGCGUCGAGCAUCUCAUAUUAUUAGCAUGUUCGCCUAACGCAUCUUGGAAGGUGGCUCAAGAGCUCAUCCAAUAUUACCAAAUCACACAAUUCUGUGCUAGGGUACGAAUCAUUUAAAAUCCAAUUCAAAUAUAUUCGUCCAAAGCUCACAAAUGAUCUUUUUUUUGAUGGAUGCUUUUCCCACUUUCAUUUUGGAUUUGAACGCCAAUACUACAAGAAAGUGAAACUCACUUGUUUUUCCCAGCACGACUUAUCGCUUGCUCCAUCAGGAGGUCUUAAAAAUAAUAGCCAAGUCAAUGUUUUCCAUGUUAGCAAAGCAGUUUCCUGGUAGCUUGAGUCAUGUUCAUUUUGGAGUUCAAUCGGAAUGCGAGGAAGCGAUGGAGAAUAAUAGUAAUUCAAAACAAGCCUUGUUAUCGCUCACUGCGUCAUAAAAUAUCAGCGCAGUCUCAAAGGUUUUGAUGCUGACAUAAAGUUGGGAUCAGGCAUUGAACAAGACCAGACAGGACAUGGUUUUAAUGAAAGAAAUAGAAGGUGUUUUCCUCUGUUUGAAUAGCUCUUAAUCCAUAGUCGCUGGCGUAAGAAGCAAAACAUGAAUCCUGUAACGCACAUGCUAGACAAACAACAAAUGAAAAAUCCUCUCCACACGGGUGUGUCGGGAGGCAUGCAAGCCAUGUAGUGAAACGUAAACUCUGUCAAGUCAAAAUAGACACAAA
Molecule: long non-coding RNA, 2360 nt
Organism: Syngnathus acus (greater pipefish)
Lineage: Eukaryota; Metazoa; Chordata; Actinopteri; Syngnathiformes; Syngnathidae
Exons: 2
Source: RefSeq, a predicted model, not a curated record